RNAcentral lists this ribosomal RNA (476 nucleotides) under uncultured bacterium. RNAcentral's name for it is "partial 16S ribosomal RNA". It matches the Rfam family "Bacterial small subunit ribosomal RNA", at positions 29 to 507 of the family's 1533-position model. The record is from RNAcentral.
AUGAACGCUGGCGGCGUGCCUAAUACAUGCCAGUCGAGCGGACGGACGAGAAGCUUGCUUCUCUGAUGUUAGCGGCGGCCGGGUGAGUAACACGUGGAUAACCUACCUAUAAGACUGGGAUAACUUCGGGAAACCGGAGCUAAUCCCGGAUAAUAUUUUUAACCGCAUGGUUCAAAAGUGAAAGUCGGUCUUGCUGUCAGUUAUGGAUGGAUCCGCGGUGCAUUAGCUAGUUGGUAGGGUAACGGCUUACCAAGGCAACGACGGGUAGCCGGCCUGAGAGGGGGACCGGCCACAAGGGGACUGAGAGACGGGCCAGACUGCUACGGGAGGGAGCAGGGGGGAAUAUUGCACAAUGGGAGGAAGCCUGAUGCAGCAACGCCGCGUGCGGGAUGACGGCCUUCGGGUUGUAAAACGCUUUCGCCUGUGACGAAGCGUGAGUGACGGUAAUGGGGAAAGAAGCACCGGCUAACUACGUG